Molecule: ribosomal RNA, 443 nt
Filed under: uncultured bacterium
Lineage: Bacteria
Description: partial 16S ribosomal RNA
Rfam family: Bacterial small subunit ribosomal RNA
Source: RNAcentral
CCUACGGGUGGCUGCAGUGGGGAAUAUUGGACAAUGGGGGGAACCCUGAUCCAGCGACGCCGCGUGAGUGAAGAAGUAUUUCGGUAUGUAACGCUCUAUCAGCAGGGAAGAAAGAAAUGACGGUACCUGACUAAGAAGCCCCGGCUAACUACGUGCCAGCAGCCGCGGUAAUACGUAGGGGGCAAGCGUUAUCCGGAUUUACUGGGUGUAAAGGGAGCGUAGACGGCGAUGCAAGUCUGAAGUGAAAGGCGGGGGCCCAACCCCUGGACUGCAUUGGAAACUGUAUGGCUGGAGUGCAGGAGAGGUAAGUGGAAUUCCUAGUGUAGCGGUGAAAUGCAUAGAUAUCACACAGAACACCGAUUGCGAAGGCAUCUCACGAAUCCGCGAUUGACGCUGAUGCACGAAAGCGUGGGUAUCAAACAGGAUUAGAUACCCCAGUAGUC